Molecule: ribosomal RNA, 748 nt
Filed under: uncultured bacterium
Lineage: Bacteria
Description: bacterial SSU rRNA
Rfam family: Bacterial small subunit ribosomal RNA
Source: RNAcentral
UGCAAGUCGAGCGGUAACAGGUGUAGCAAUACAUGCUGACGAGCGGCGGACGGGUGAGCAAUGCUUGGGAAUCUGCCUAUUAGUGGGGGAUAACCCGGGGAAACUCGGGCUAAUACCGCAUACGAUCUACGGAUGAAAGCCGGGGACCGCAAGGCCUGGCGCUAAUAGAUGAGCCCAAGUCGGAUUAGCUAGUUGGUGAGGUAACGGCUCACCAAGGCGACGAUCCGUAGCUGGUUUGAGAGAACGACCAGCCACACCGGAACUGAGACACGGUCCGGACUCCUACGGGAGGCAGCAGUGGGGAAUAUUGGACAAUGGGCGAAAGCCUGAUCCAGCGACGCCGCGUGGGUGAAGAAGGCCUGCGGGUUGUAAAGCCCUUUCGGUUGGGAAGAAAAGUAUUGACCUAACACGUCAGUACCUUGACGUAACCAACAAAAGAAGCACCGGCUAACUCUGUGCCAGCAGCCGCGGUAAUACAGAGGGUGCAAGCGUUAAUCGGAAUUACUGGGCGUAAAGCGCACGUAGGCGGCUUGAUAAGUCGAGUGUGAAAUCCCCGGGCUUAACCUGGGACCUGCAUUCGAAACUGUCUUGCUAGAGUAUGGGAGAGGGAAGUGGAAUUUCAGGUGUAGCGGUGAAAUGCGUAGAUAUCUGAAGGAACAUCAGUGGCGAAAGCGACUUCCUGGACCAAUACUGACGCUCAGGUGCGAAAGCGUGGGGAGCAAACAGGAUUAGAUACCCUGGUAGUCCA